GAGGAAAAGAAACCAACAGGGAUUGCCCUAGUAACGGCGAGUGAAGCGGCAACAGCUCAAAUUUGAAAUCUGGCUCUUUUAGGGUCCGAGUUGUAAUUUGCAGAGAGCGCUUUGGCGUUGGCAGCGGUCCAAGUUCUUUGGAACAGGACGUCACAGAGGGUGAGAAUCCCGUACGUGGUCGCUAGCCUUCGCCGUGUAAAGCCUCUUCGACGAGUCGAGUUGUUUGGGAAUGCAGCUCUAAAUGGGAGGUAAAUUUCUUCUAAAGCUAAAUACUGGCCAGAGACCGAUAGCGCACAAGUAGAGUGAUCGAAAGAUGAAAAGCACUUUGGAAAGAGAGUCAAAUAGCACGUGAAAUUGUUGAAAGGGAAGCGCUUGCAGCCAGACUUGCCUGUAGUUGCUUAUCCGGACUUUUGUCCGGUGCACUCUUCUGCGGGCAGGCCAGCAUCAGUUUAGGCGGUUGGAUAAAGGUCUCUAUCACGUACCUCCCUUCGGGGUUGGCCUUAUAGGGGAGACGACAUGCAGCCAGCCUGAACUGAGGUCCGCGCAUCUGCUAGGAUGCUGGCGUAAUGGCUGUAAGCGGCCCGUCUUGAAACACGGACCAAGGAGUCUAACAUCUAUGCGAGUGUUUGGGUGUCAAGCCCAGACGCGUAAUGAAAGUGAACGGAGGUGGGAACCUUUUAGGUGCACCAUCGACCGAUCCUGAUGUCUUCGGAUGGAUUUGAGUAAGAGCAUGGCUGUUGGGACCCGAAAGAUGGUGAACUAUGCUUGAAUAGGGUGAAGCCAGAGGAAACUCUGGUGGAGGCUCGCAGCGGUUCUGACGUGCAAAUCGAUCGUCAAAUUUGGGCAUAGGGGCGAAAGACUAAUCGAACAUCUU
This 874-nucleotide ribosomal RNA is filed under the name Poaceicola arundinis. RNAcentral's name for it is "eukaryotic LSU rRNA". It matches the Rfam family "Eukaryotic large subunit ribosomal RNA", at positions 53 to 946 of the family's 3401-position model. Lineage: Eukaryota; Fungi; Ascomycota; Dothideomycetes; Pleosporales; Phaeosphaeriaceae. The record is from RNAcentral.